Molecule: long non-coding RNA, 264 nt
Organism: Exaiptasia diaphana
Lineage: Eukaryota; Metazoa; Cnidaria; Anthozoa; Actiniaria; Aiptasiidae
Exons: 3
Source: RefSeq, a predicted model, not a curated record
CAGACGCUGAAAACUUUCGCUUUUGAAUCUAGGACGUGCUUAUGACCCUAUGCUAUUCAAAGCUCUCAUCAAGUUUCUGUCUGUUAUGAGGGAUCGACAGUGUGGUAAGCUAAAGAACAGGCGUAGUUUAAGGAAAUCGUCCGAAAAUAUGAUUCAUAAUGCAGAUCCGGAAGAUGUUCAUCCAGAUCAUUUACCAGAUUCGCUGAAUGUUAUUUUGAUCAAUGAUGAAUCAUCCAUAUUCUCUGCAUCAAAGAGUUCUUUUCG